GGGUUGUGAGGUUAAGCGACUAAGCGUACACGGUGGAUGCCCUGGCAGUCAGAGGCGAUGAAGGACGUGCUAAUCUGCGAUAAGCGUCGGUAAGGUGAUAUGAACCGUUAUAACCGGCGAUUUCCGAAUGGGGAAACCCAGUGUGUUUCGACACACUAUCAUUAACUGAAUCCAUAGGUUAAUGAGGCGAACCGGGGGAACUGAAACAUCUAAGUACCCCGAGGAAAAGAAAUCAACCGAGAUUCCCCCAGUAGCGGCGAGCGAACGGGGAGCAGCCCAGAGCCUGAAUCAGUGUGUGUGUUAGUGGAAGCGUCUGGAAAGGCGCGCGAUACAGGGUGACAGCCCCGUACACAAAAAUGCACAUACUGUGAGCUCGAUGAGUAGGGCGGGACACGUGGUAUCCUGUCUGAAUAUGGGGGGACCAUCCUCCAAGGCUAAAUACUCCUGACUGACCGAUAGUGAACCAGUACCGUGAGGGAAAGGCGAAAAGAACCCCGGCGAGGGGAGUGAAAAAGAACCUGAAACCGUGUACGUACAAGCAGUGGGAGCCUCUUAAUGGGGUGACUGCGUACCUUUUGUAUAAUGGGUCAGCGACUUAUAUUCUGUAGCAAGGUUAACCGAAUAGGGGAGCCGAAGGGAAACCGAGUCUUAACUGGGCGUUAAGUUGCAGGGUAUAGACCCGAAACCCGGUGAUCUAGCCAUGGGCAGGUUGAAGGUUGGGUAACACUAACUGGAGGACCGAACCGACUAAUGUUGAAAAAUUAGCGGAUGACUUGUGGCUGGGGGUGAAAGGCCAAUCAAACCGGGAGAUAGCUGGUUCUCCCCGAAAGCUAUUUAGGUAGCGCCUCGUGAAUUCAUCUCCGGGGGUAGAGCACUGUUUCGGCAAGGGGGUCAUCCCGACUUACCAACCCGAUGCAAACUGCGAAUACCGGAGAAUGUUAUCACGGGAGACACACGGCGGGUGCUAACGUCCGUCGUGAAGAGGGAAACAACCCAGACCGCCAGCUAAGGUCCCAAAGUCAUGGUUAAGUGGGAAACGAUGUGGGAAGGCCCAGACAGCCAGGAUGUUGGCUUAGAAGCAGCCAUCAUUUAAAGAAAGCGUAAUAGCUCACUGGUCGAGUCGGCCUGCGCGGAAGAUGUAACGGGGCUAAACCAUGCACCGAAGCUGCGGCAGCGACACUAUGUGUUGUUGGGUAGGGGAGCGUUCUGUAAGCCUGUGAAGGUGUACUGUGAGGUAUGCUGGAGGUAUCAGAAGUGCGAAUGCUGACAUAAGUAACGAUAAAGCGGGUGAAAAGCCCGCUCGCCGGAAGACCAAGGGUUCCUGUCCAACGUUAAUCGGGGCAGGGUGAGUCGACCCCUAAGGCGAGGCCGAAAGGCGUAGUCGAUGGGAAACAGGUUAAUAUUCCUGUACUUGGUGUUACUGCGAAGGGGGGACGGAGAAGGCUAUGUUGGCCGGGCGACGGUUGUCCCGGUUUAAGCGUGUAGGCUGGUUUUCCAGGCAAAUCCGGAAAAUCAAGGCUGAGGCGUGAUGACGAGGCACUACGGUGCUGAAGCAACAAAUGCCCUGCUUCCAGGAAAAGCCUCUAAGCAUCAGGUAACAUCAAAUCGUACCCCAAACCGACACAGGUGGUCAGGUAGAGAAUACCAAGGCGCUUGAGAGAACUCGGGUGAAGGAACUAGGCAAAAUGGUGCCGUAACUUCGGGAGAAGGCACGC
Molecule: ribosomal RNA, 1715 nt
Filed under: Escherichia coli
Lineage: Bacteria; Pseudomonadati; Pseudomonadota; Gammaproteobacteria; Enterobacterales; Enterobacteriaceae
Description: partial 23S ribosomal RNA
Rfam family: Bacterial large subunit ribosomal RNA
Source: RNAcentral